RNAcentral lists this ribosomal RNA (400 nucleotides) under uncultured bacterium. Its description in RNAcentral is "bacterial SSU rRNA". It matches the Rfam family "Bacterial small subunit ribosomal RNA", at positions 356 to 773 of the family's 1533-position model. The record is from RNAcentral.
GGGGAAUAUUGCGCAAUGGGGGAAACCCUGACGCAGCAACGCCGCGUGGAGGAAGAAGGCCUUCGGGUCGUAAACUCCUGUCUUUUGGGACGAUAAUGACGGUACCAAAGGAGGAAGCCACGGCUAACUACGUGCCAGCAGCCGCGGUAAUACGUAGGUGGCGAGCGUUGUCCGGAAUUACUGGGCGUAAAGGGUGCGUAGGCGGAAUAUUAAGUCAGAUGUGAAAAUCCAGGGCUCAACCUUGGAACUGCAUUUGAAACUGAUAUUCUAGAGUGCAGGAGAGGAAAGCGGAAUUCCUAGUGUAGCGGUGAAAUGCGUAGAUAUUAGGAAGAACACCAGUGGCGAAGGCGGCUUUCUGGACUGUAACUGACGCUGAGGCACGAAAGCGUGGGGAGCAAAC